GGUCAUCUUGAAGCCAACCUCUAGCCCAACCAACAAUACAAAAUCUCUCUUCCCCCCCCAACUUAAACCAUUCUGCACACUUAGUAUAGGCGAUAGAAAAGAACCAAAAUCAAGCAGGCGCUAUAGAGACAUGUACCGCAAGGGAAAGAUGAAAUAAUAGUGAAAACCCAAGCACAAAACAGCAAAGAUCAACCCUUAUACCUCUUGCAUCAUGGUCCAGCAAGAACAACCAAGCAAAGCGAACUUAAGCUUGCCCUCCCGAAACCCAAGCGAGCUACUCGCGAGCAGCUACAUACUGAGCGAACCCGUCUCUGUCGCAAAAGAGUGGGAUGACUUGCUAGUAGAGGUGAAAAGCCAAUCGAGCUGGGUGAUAGCUGGUUGCCUGUGAAAUGAAUCUAAGUUCUACUCUGAUAGCUCCCACUUCUUUGACGACCCCCCCAACAAACUGUGCAGCCACUCAGAAGCAAUUUAAAGGGGGUACAGCCCCUUUAAAAAAGAACACAACCUCCCUCAGCGGAUAACCCCCAACACAGCCCUAACUGUCGGCCUUCGAGCAGCCACCAACAAAGAGUGCGUCACAGCUCAUGUAUUAAAAAUAUGGCAACAAUGCGAAUCCCUACCCCGUAACAGGCCAACCUAUACCCAAUAGGAGAAUUCAUGCUGAAAUAAGUAACUAGGGACACCCCCUCCAAACGCGCAAACUUACAUCUCCACAUUAUUACCCAGAAUAAGAUACCCCCACAACCCACAAGACGCCGUAUCCCCUCACCCUGUUAGGCCAACUCAGGAGCGCUCAACGGAAAGAUUCAAAUCCGUAGAAGGAACUAGGCAAACCCCCAGGGCCCGACUGUUUACCAAAAACAUAGCCUUCAGCCCUCCAAGUAUUGAAGGUGACGCCUGCCCAGUGACACUAAGUUCAACGGCCGCGGUAUCCUAACCGUGCAAAGGUAGCGCAAUCAAUUGUCCCAUAAAUCGAGACUUGUAUGAAUGGCUAAACGAGGUCCUAACUGUCUCCUACGGACAAUCAGUGAAAUUGAUCUCUUCGUGCAAAAGCGAAGAUAACCCCAUAAGACGAGAAGACCCUGUGGAACUUCAAAAUCAACGACCACACCACACGACCCUCAAGCCUACCAGGCCCACCACCCAACCACAAACAUUGGUCCGUAUUUUUCGGCUGGGGCGGCCCUGGAGAAAAACAAACCCUCCAGAAACAAGACCCAACCUCUUAACCAAGAGCCACCCCUCAACGUGCAAACAGCCACCAGACCCGGUAUAACUGAUCAAUGGACCAAGCUACCCCAGGGAUAACAGCGCAAUCCCCUCCAAGAGCCCAUAUCGACAAGGGGGUUUACGACCUCGAUGUUGGAUCAGGACACCCUAAUGGUGCAGCCGCUAUUAAGGGUUCGUUUGUUCAACGAUUAACAGUCCUACGUGAUCUGAGUUCAGACCGGAGUAAUCCAGGUCGGUUUCUAUCUAUGACAGAUUCCCCCCAGUACGAAAGGACCGGAGGAAUGAGGCCCAUGCCACCAGCACGCCUCCCUCUCAAGUGCGGAACACAACUAAACCACCUAAAGAGCUCUCAACACCCGUCCAAAAAAAGGACU
RNAcentral lists this ribosomal RNA (1604 nucleotides) under Dryocopus pileatus. RNAcentral describes it as "16S ribosomal RNA". The stretch from base 84 to 1526 matches the Rfam family "Bacterial large subunit ribosomal RNA". The record is from RNAcentral. Lineage: Eukaryota; Metazoa; Chordata; Aves; Piciformes; Picidae.